RNAcentral lists this ribosomal RNA (1351 nucleotides) under metagenome. RNAcentral's name for it is "bacterial LSU rRNA". It matches the Rfam family "Bacterial large subunit ribosomal RNA", at positions 1564 to 2925 of the family's 2925-position model. The record is from RNAcentral.
UGAUGACGAGACGCUAAGGCGUUGAAGUAGUGUAUGUCAGGCUUCCAAGAAAAGCUCGCAAUGUCAUAGAUAAAAAAUGCCUGUACCAUAACCGACACAGGUGGGUAGGUAGAGUAUACUAAGGGGCGCGAGAUAACUCUCUCUAAGGAACUCGGCAAAAUGACUCCGUAACUUCGGGAGAAGGAGUGCCUUAUUUAUAAGGUUGCAAUAACAAGAUCCAAGCAACUGUUUAUCAAAAACACAGGUCUCCGCUAAGUCGUAAGACGAUGUAUGGGGGCUGACGCCUGCCCAGUGCCAGAAGGUUAAAGAAGUUGGUUAGUUUAUACGAAGCUGAUGACUGAAGCCCUGGUGAACGGCGGCCGUAACUAUAACGGUCCUAAGGUAGCGAAAUUCCUUGUCGGGUAAGUUCCGACCCGCACGAAAGGCGUAAUGAUUUGGAUACUGUCUCGGAGAGAGGCUCGGUGAAAUAGACUUGUCUGUGAAGAUGCGGACUACCUGCACCAGGACAGAAAGACCCAAUGAAGCUUUACUGUAACUUGAAAUUGGAAUUGGACUUUGCUUGCGCAGUAUAGGUGGGAAGCGUUGAAGAUACUCUUGCGGGAGUAUUGGAGCUAUCAGUGAGAUACCACUCUUGUAAUGUUAGAUUUCUAACUUUGAACCAUAAUCUGGUCAAAGAACAGUUUCAGGUGGGCAGUUUGACUGGGGCGGUCGCCUCCCAAAUGGUAACGGAGGCGUACAAAGGUUUCCUCUGAACGGAUAGAAAUCGUAUCUAGAGUGUAAAGGCAUAAGGAAGCUUGACUGUGAGACCUACAAGUCGAGCAGGGACGAAAGUCGGUCUUAGUGAUCUGACGGUACUGAGUGGAAAGGCCGUCACUCAACGGAUAAAAGUUACUCUAGGGAUAACAGGCUGAUCUCCCCCAAGAGUUCACAUCGACGGGGAGGUUUGGCACCUCGAUGUCGGCUCAUCGCAUCCUGGGGCGGUAGUACGUCCCAAGGGUUGGGCUGUUCGCCCAUGAAAGCGGUACGCGAGCUGGGUUCAGAACGUCGUGAGACAGUUCGGUCCAUAUCCGGUGUAGGCGCUAGAAUAUUGAGAGGAGCCUUCUUUAGUACGAGAGGACCGAGAAGGACACACCGCUGGUGUACCAGUUAUCGUGCCAACGGUAAACGCUGGGUAGCUAUGUGUGGAGUGGAUAACCGCUGAAAGCAUCUAAGUGGGAAGCCCACCUCAAGAUGAGUAUUCUCAUCACUAUAAGUGAGUAAGGUCACGGUAAGACUAACCGUUCGAUAGGCAUUAAGUGUAAGUACAGUAAUGUAUGUGCUGAGAUGUCCUAACAGACCGAGGACUUGAAUC